This 239-nucleotide ribosomal RNA is filed under the name uncultured Pseudomonadota bacterium. RNAcentral describes it as "uncultured proteobacterium partial 16S ribosomal RNA". It matches the Rfam family "Bacterial small subunit ribosomal RNA", at positions 554 to 792 of the family's 1533-position model. The record is from RNAcentral. Lineage: Bacteria; Pseudomonadati; Pseudomonadota.
UUGGGUUUAAAGUGAGCGUAGGCGGACUGUUAAGUUAGAGGUGAAAGCCCAGGGCUCAACCUUGGAAUUGCCUUUGAUACUGGCAGUCUUGAGUACGGAAGAGGUAUGUGGAACUCCGAGUGUAGAGGUGAAAUUCGUAGAUAUUCGGAAGAACACCAGUGGCGAAGGCGACAUACUGGUCCGUUACUGACGCUGAGGCUCGAAAGCGUGGGGAGCAAACAGGAUUAGAUACCCUUGUA